AAUAUGGGGAUAAGAAAAAAUAGCGUUUGUAUAAAAAUUAGAUAGUUUCUCGGGAUAAGAAAAAUAACGUUUGGAUUGAUAAUAUAGAAUAAAAAAAAUAGUGAAUAGUUAUAUAUAAAAAAUGAAAGUAUUGAUGAGAAUAAUUAUACCAGAUUAUUUCAGAUACCUGAGAAUUACUAUUGCGGAUAAGGGAUUAUUCCACUUCUUAU
Molecule: long non-coding RNA, 209 nt
Filed under: Ananas comosus (pineapple)
Lineage: Eukaryota; Viridiplantae; Streptophyta; Magnoliopsida; Poales; Bromeliaceae
Description: long non-coding RNA (ACOM_LNC015566)
Source: RNAcentral